UACGAAGGGGGCUAGCGUUGCUCGGAAUCACUGGGCGUAAAGCGCACGUAGGCGGGUCCUUAAGUCAGGGGUGAAAUCCCGGAGCUCAACUCCGGAACUGCCUUUGAUACUGGGGAUCUUGAGUCCGGAAGAGGUGAGUGGAACUCCGAGUGUAGAGGUGAAAUUCGUAGAUAUUCGGAAGAACACCAGUGGCGAAGGCGACUCGCUGGACAAGUAUUGACGCUGAGGUGCGAAAGCGUGGGGAGCAAACAGG
RNAcentral lists this ribosomal RNA (253 nucleotides) under uncultured bacterium. RNAcentral describes it as "partial 16S ribosomal RNA". It matches the Rfam family "Bacterial small subunit ribosomal RNA", at positions 524 to 776 of the family's 1533-position model. The record is from RNAcentral.